GGUAAGACCCCUUAGAGACGAUGAGGUAGAUAGGCUUCGGGUGUAAGUACGGUGACGUAUUGAGCCGGGAAGUACUAAUCGGUCGAGGGCUUGACCUC
This 98-nucleotide ribosomal RNA is filed under the name Candidatus Egerieicola pullicola. Its description in RNAcentral is "partial 23S ribosomal RNA". It matches the Rfam family "Bacterial large subunit ribosomal RNA", at positions 2827 to 2925 of the family's 2925-position model. The record is from RNAcentral. Lineage: Bacteria; Bacillati; Bacillota; Clostridia; Eubacteriales; Oscillospiraceae.